GACGAACGCUGGCGGCGUGCUUAACACAUGCAAGUCGAACGGAAAGGCCCUGCUUUUGUGGGGUGCUCGAGUGGCGAACGGGUGAGUAACACGUGAGUAACCUGCCCUUGACUUUGGGAUAACUUCAGGAAACUGGGGCUAAUACCGGAUAGGAGCUCCUGCUGCAUGGUGGGGGUUGGAAAGUUUCGGCGGUUGGGGAUGGACUCGCGGCUUAUCAGCUUGUUGGUGGGGUAGUGGCUUACCAAGGCUUUGACGGGUAGCCGGCCUGAGAGGGUGACCGGCCAAAUUGGGACUAAGAUACGGACCAGACUCCUACGGGAGGCAGCAGUGGGGAAUAUUGCACAAUGGGCGGAAGCCUGAUGCAGCAACGCCGCGUGCGGGAUGACGGCCUUCGGGUUGUAAACCGAUUUCGCCUGUGACGAAGCGUGAGUGACGGUAAUGGGUAAAGAAGCACCGGCUAACUACGUG
Molecule: ribosomal RNA, 468 nt
Filed under: uncultured bacterium
Lineage: Bacteria
Description: partial 16S ribosomal RNA
Rfam family: Bacterial small subunit ribosomal RNA
Source: RNAcentral